RNAcentral lists this ribosomal RNA (463 nucleotides) under uncultured bacterium. RNAcentral describes it as "partial 16S ribosomal RNA". It matches the Rfam family "Bacterial small subunit ribosomal RNA", at positions 28 to 507 of the family's 1533-position model. The record is from RNAcentral.
GACGAACGCUGGCGGCGUGCUUAACACAUGCAAGUCGAACGGAAAGGCCUUUUCGGAGGUACUCGAGUGGCGAACGGGUGAGUAACACGUGGGUGAUCUGCCCUGCACUCUGGGAUAAGCCUGGGAAACUGGGUCUAAUACCGGAUAGGACCGCACCUUAGUGUGUGUGGUGGAAAGUUUUUUCGGUGUAGGAUGAGCCCGCGGCCUAUCAGCUUGUUGGUGGGGUAAUGGCCUACCAAGGCGGCGACGGGUAGCCGGACUGAGAGGUUGGUCGGCCACAUUGGGACUGAGAUACGGCCCAGACUCCUACGGGAGGCAGCAGUGGGGAAUAUUGCACAAUGGGCGCAAGCCUGAUGCAGCGACGCCGCGUGGGGGAUGACGGCCUUCGGGUUGUAAACUCCUUUCGCCAGGGACGAAGCGUUUUGUGACGGUACCUGGAGAAGAAGCACCGGCUAACUACGUG